Molecule: ribosomal RNA, 1940 nt
Filed under: Escherichia coli
Lineage: Bacteria; Pseudomonadati; Pseudomonadota; Gammaproteobacteria; Enterobacterales; Enterobacteriaceae
Description: partial 23S ribosomal RNA
Rfam family: Bacterial large subunit ribosomal RNA
Source: RNAcentral
UGUUUCGGCAAGGGGGUCAUCCCGACUUACCAACCCGAUGCAAACUGCGAAUACCGGAGAAUGUUAUCACGGGAGACACACGGCGGGUGCUAACGUCCGUCGUGAAGAGGGAAACAACCCAGACCGCCAGCUAAGGUCCCAAAGUCAUGGUUAAGUGGGAAACGAUGUGGGAAGGCCCAGACAGCCAGGAUGUUGGCUUAGAAGCAGCCAUCAUUUAAAGAAAGCGUAAUAGCUCACUGGUCGAGUCGGCCUGCGCGGAAGAUGUAACGGGGCUAAACCAUGCACCGAAGCUGCGGCAGCGACGCUUAUGCGUUGUUGGGUAGGGGAGCGUUCUGUAAGCCUGUGAAGGUGUGCUGUGAGGCAUGCUGGAGGUAUCAGAAGUGCGAAUGCUGACAUAAGUAACGAUAAAGCGGGUGAAAAGCCCGCUCGCCGGAAGACCAAGGGUUCCUGUCCAACGUUAAUCGGGGCAGGGUGAGUCGACCCCUAAGGCGAGGCCGAAAGGCGUAGUCGAUGGGAAACAGGUUAAUAUUCCUGUACUUGGUGUUACUGCGAAGGGGGGACGGAGAAGGCUAUGUUGGCCGGGCGACGGUUGUCCCGGUUUAAGCGUGUAGGCUGGUUUUCCAGGCAAAUCCGGAAAAUCAAGGCUGAGGCGUGAUGACGAGGCACUACGGUGCUGAAGCAACAAAUGCCCUGCUUCCAGGAAAAGCCUCUAAGCAUCAGGUAACAUCAAAUCGUACCCCAAACCGACACAGGUGGUCAGGUAGAGAAUACCAAGGCGCUUGAGAGAACUCGGGUGAAGGAACUAGGCAAAAUGGUGCCGUAACUUCGGGAGAAGGCACGCUGAUAUGUAGGUGAAGUCCCUCGCGGAUGGAGCUGAAAUCAGUCGAAGAUACCAGCUGGCUGCAACUGUUUAUUAAAAACACAGCACUGUGCAAACACGAAAGUGGACGUAUACGGUGUGACGCCUGCCCGGUGCCGGAAGGUUAAUUGAUGGGGUCAGCGCAAGCGAAGCUCUUGAUCGAAGCCCCGGUAAACGGCGGCCGUAACUAUAACGGUCCUAAGGUAGCGAAAUUCCUUGUCGGGUAAGUUCCGACCUGCACGAAUGGCGUAAUGAUGGCCAGGCUGUCUCCACCCGAGACUCAGUGAAAUUGAACUCGCUGUGAAGAUGCAGUGUACCCGCGGCAAGACGGAAAGACCCCGUGAACCUUUACUAUAGCUUGACACUGAACAUUGAGCCUUGAUGUGUAGGAUAGGUGGGAGGCUUAGAAGUGUGGACGCCAGUCUGCAUGGAGCCGACCUUGAAAUACCACCCUUUAAUGUUUGAUGUUCUAACGUUGACCCGUAAUCCGGGUUGCGGACAGUGUCUGGUGGGUAGUUUGACUGGGGCGGUCUCCUCCUAAAGAGUAACGGAGGAGCACGAAGGUUGGCUAAUCCUGGUCGGACAUCAGGAGGUUAGUGCAAUGGCAUAAGCCAGCUUGACUGCGAGCGUGACGGCGCGAGCAGGUGCGAAAGCAGGUCAUAGUGAUCCGGUGGUUCUGAAUGGAAGGGCCAUCGCUCAACGGAUAAAAGGUACUCCGGGGAUAACAGGCUGAUACCGCCCAAGAGUUCAUAUCGACGGCGGUGUUUGGCACCUCGAUGUCGGCUCAUCACAUCCUGGGGCUGAAGUAGGUCCCAAGGGUAUGGCUGUUCGCCAUUUAAAGUGGUACGCGAGCUGGGUUUAGAACGUCGUGAGACAGUUCGGUCCCUAUCUGCCGUGGGCGCUGGAGAACUGAGGGGGGCUGCUCCUAGUACGAGAGGACCGGAGUGGACGCAUCACUGGUGUUCGGGUUGUCAUGCCAAUGGCACUGCCCGGUAGCUAAAUGCGGAAGAGAUAAGUGCUGAAAGCAUCUAAGCACGAAACUUGCCCCGAGAUGAGUUCUCCCUGACUCCUUGAGAGUCCU